AAAGCAUGUAAAAUACAUAAUAUCUUGAUUACAACAAGAUUGAGGCAAGUUGUAUCUCAUAUAAAUACUCGAAUCCCACGUUGGAUACAUUGUAUCUGAUAACAAAUUUAAACACGAUUUGAAAUUAAACAAACUAUCGUCCGACUUUUGAAAUUUGCUCAAAGGAAAAAAUGUACAUUUGGGCCACUUUAAGAAGUAAGGUAUAUCCUGGGUUGUUAAAAAAAAGCCCAAACCUUUAAAACCCUCACGAAGCCCAAAUCAUCGUCUUCUCGAUCGCCAACUAUUCUCGGGAAUUGUGCCUGACCUCCAUUGUCGACGGAGCUCAACAGCUCUCACUCUCUUCGUAAGCCCCCCCCCCCCUCAAGGAGACCCAUAUUACCAUGAAUACCAUAAACCCUUUUUCUGCUAAAACAAUCCAAAUUGACAAGAAAAUCAACCAUUCACUUCAUCACCAUCGUUCAGUUUUGUCUAAACCAUUUUCUCCUCUCUGUUUUAGAACUCCAUUAAAAGCUUCUUCUUCAUUAUCCUUUCAAAACGCAGAAACCCCUAAAUCCAUAAACCCUCAAAACCCGUUUUCAGUUAUGUUGUCAGUUCUCAAACCUACAAUUAUUGCCACAAUUACAGCUACUUCCCUUUUCUUAACGCGAUUUCAUUAUAACCCGAAGCCCGCAUUUGCUGUGUCGCUUUCUUCUCCGCACACUACAGAGGCAAAUGUAAAGGAUUCAGCUUCUGACGAGGAAAAUGAGAAGGCCCUUGAGAGUUUUUUGCUGUCGAACCCGAAUGAUGUCGAUGCUCUGAGGAAUUUGAUGGAAAUUCAGAUAAAGAAUCGGAAAUUAGUCGAUGCCAUUAGCACUAUUGACAAGUUGAUUGAGCUAGAGCCAAAUGAGACUGAAUGGCAUUUGUUGAAAUCCCAUUUAUAUGUUUACAAUGGUGAGCUUGAAUUGGCCAAAACUGGGUUCAGUGAGAUAUUAAAGAAAGACCCUUUUCGUGUAGAGGCUUAUCAUGGGCUGGUGAUGGUGGCGUCGCAAGAAGAUUCAGUUGAGGAGUUGAAAGAAGUAAAGAAAAAAGUUGAGGAGGGGAUCAAGAUGUGUGAUAAGGAGAGUAAAAAGAGUGAAAUGAGGGAUUUUAUGCUAUUGCUUGCACAAAUUUGGGUAAUUGAAAGUAAAUACGAGGAUGCGUUGAAGGUUUAUCAGGAGUUAGUGAAGGAGGAGCCAAAGGAUUUUAGGCCUUAUUUGUGUCAAGGGAUAAUAUAUACUUUGUUGAGUAAGAAAGACGAGGCGGAGAAGAGUUUUGAGGAGUAUCGAAGAUUAGUACCACAAGGCCACCCUUAUGCUAGGUACUUUGAUGAUAAUUUGAUUGCAACAAAGCUUUUCUCUCAGAAAGUGGAGACUGAAAGAUCUAAUGGAGAUUGAAGGCAGUGUACUUCAGCUUGAUGAUUGAGAUGAAGUGUAGGAUGUUCUUAAUGGUGUGAAGCAUUUUGGGAAAAUCCGUAGGGGCUUGAUCCAAAACAGACGAUCCAUUCUAUGCGAGUUGUUGUUAUUUUGUGAAUGCUUGAGCUUUGUAGCGUGUAAACUUAGCCAUGCGUUUCCUGAAACUAGAGUACUAGACAUAAACUGAUAAAUGUAUACACAAGCUUGAAACAAACUGAUUGCUCAAAGAAAUUAUGCCCUUUUGCCUUUUUCUUUUUCUUGGCACCUCACACAAGGACAGAAACACAUAAAGAAUCAAAAAAAGAAAAAGGAGAAAGAAAAGAGGAGAAAAAGACCCUCAUUGUUGUAUUAACCUGUAUCAAAUAUUAUUAUUGAGAAGGAUGAUAAGGAGUGGCAAUCAAGUAAAGCUCACUCUUUCUUGCUGCAGUUAUUGCAGAGAGCUCAGUCAUGUCCACAUCCUCUGGCUUCUGACCAUCAGGACACAUUCUCCUUCCGGCACCAAAAGGAAGAUACUCAAAGUUAUUCCCCAAGAAAUCCACAGAGCUCUGCUUGAAUCUCUCAGGUAUGAAGCUUUCCGCAUCUUCCCAAUACUUUGGGUCCCUCCCCAUCGACCAAACAUUAACCAUGACUCUUGUUUUUAAUGGGAUGGUGUAUCCAUUGAUGUUUGUUUCUUCCCUGCAUUCUCUGGGGGCUAAGAGAGGGAGUGGAGGAUGAAGUCUCAAGGUUUCUUUAACAACUUGUUUUAGAUAUUUCAAUUCCUCAAUAACAUCCUCAUCGAAAGUUUCUUUCCCUUUGAAUACUUCUCUUACUUCUGCUUGUGCCUUUUUUAACACCCUUGGGUUCCUCAUCAUUUCUGUCAUAGCCCAUGUUGCUGUGGUUGAUGAAGUUUCUGUUCCCGCAGAGAACAAGUCCUACAUUUCAUUAUUAAUCAAAGAAGAAUUAACCUAAAUUGGGCUGCAAUAAGUAGCUCAAGAGGUCGUUUAUGUAUGAUAUACUUGUCAAAGUUGAAGGGCAUUUCUUUAAUGCCUAAUUAAUUAUGUGUAUGUCUGCUUACAAAAGAAUGCUAAAUACUUUUUGUAUUCAGUAACUCAAAAAUAGUUUUAGAGAUUUUCCCUA
RNA transcript from Solanum pennellii, 2546 nucleotides. It is a transcript of the gene named protein SLOW GREEN 1, chloroplastic-like, with no coding region annotated. The record is from RefSeq and is a predicted model, not a curated record. The transcript is spliced from 3 exons. NCBI's taxonomy places the organism in Eukaryota, Viridiplantae, Streptophyta, Magnoliopsida, Solanales, Solanaceae.